CUGUCAUUCGUGACUCAACCAUUCACCCCUCUACCCCUGCCUCUCCCGUCCCUCCAGCCUCUCUUUUCAACGAGGAGCCAGGAAAUUGGCUGCCUCCCCCCAUCCUGGGGUUCCAAGCUUUGGCUCAAGUUUUUGACUCAACCUGAGGAAACAUCACAUCCCAGAUCAAGCCUGGGCUUGGGAACAAGCCCUGAUUUUCUCUGUGUCUGGAGGUCCAGACUUUGGAGUUGGAAACACCAUGACAAUUCGAGUUUUAAAUCUUCUUGGCAGAAAAGAAAGGAUACAGGAUAGAGGACAUGAGUGGGCAUGGCAGGGAGAAGACUCUGAGGGAGCAUCCUUGACAAAACAGACGACUUAGUGACAGUGGACCCACAUCCUCACAUGACAACUGGCUGGAACUCUUUUAUCUUACCUGCCUGGCCUCCUUGGGCACCUUUUGACCUUUUAGCUAGACUGAACCCUUCUUAACAGAAGGAACAAGGUCAGAGACAAGACGUGAUCUGGUGACAAUGUCAAGUGGAUCGGUGGCAGAACCAAGACCAGAAUUCCAGUG
Bos taurus (domestic cattle) is the source of this 553-nucleotide long non-coding RNA. Lineage: Eukaryota; Metazoa; Chordata; Mammalia; Artiodactyla; Bovidae. The record is from Ensembl.